ACAAACAUGGCCGACGGCGGUGAGGUGGAGAGGCUAAGUUUUUGCUUUAUAAGGAGAAAUUCUAGCACAAAUAAGGUAAAAGUCGUCUAUUUGAAGGGUUAUGGCAAUAAAAAUGAUUUUGUGAGCUGAAGGCUGGAUUGUUAAGGCGUUUAGUCACUGAAGCUCCUGACUACCCCUGAAUCAUGCAGGACGUAUUUGCAUUGUAAUUAAUUCAAUUUUGCUUUGAUUUAGAUCAUUCCAGUUUUUUGUUGGAUUUGUUUGUAAUAAAAUGAUGUUUUAUUAA
Long non-coding RNA from Exaiptasia diaphana, 283 nucleotides. RefSeq lists it as uncharacterized. The record is from RefSeq and is a predicted model, not a curated record. The transcript has 2 exons. NCBI's taxonomy places the organism in Eukaryota, Metazoa, Cnidaria, Anthozoa, Actiniaria, Aiptasiidae.